Molecule: long non-coding RNA, 340 nt
Organism: Manis javanica (Malayan pangolin)
Lineage: Eukaryota; Metazoa; Chordata; Mammalia; Pholidota; Manidae
Source: RefSeq, a predicted model, not a curated record
CGUUCCAUUGUCAUUAUUCGGUCUCACCGAAGUUCAAAAGUGAACUUGCCCAGGACUGAAACCCACUGGCAAGUCACUCACAUUGUAAGACAAUCUAAAGGAAACCCUCAAGCAAAGGAAAAGGAAACAAGGUGGAAACCUGCAUCUGCAACAGGAAAUGCGGAGCGCCGAGACGACAAAGAAACUGAGGAUGCAGAAAGCUAGAUGAUCGGAAAGGCCAAGAGCUAUUGCAAGCACAGAGUCUUCUACAGACAUUGUCCCAUUAGCCAACAGUAAGAAAAGGAUGGUGGAUUUUAGAGGCGCUGGACCUCAUGGUGUCUGUGCAGAAAGUGAACUGAUU